ARCGAACGCUGGCGGUGUGCCUAAGGUAUGCAAGUSGAGCGACACUUUUUGAGCCGCAAGCAAGGGAAGUGGGAGCGGCGAACGGGUGAGAAUAACGUGGGAGAUACCCUCGGAUGGUGAAUACCUCGCCGAAAGGGCNUAAUGCACCGUGGUCUGCGUAGGAAUUACGGUUCUCUAUUCAGUAUAGGUCGCCUUUGGCGMUGUCCGAGGAUUCGCCCAUUCCUAUCAGCUAGUUGGUAAGGUAAAAGCUUACCUAGGCGAUGACGGGUAGGGGGCGUGGAGCGCGUACCUCCACAAGGGCACUGAGACACGGGCCCUACACCUACGGGCGGCAGCAACGGGAAUUUUGCGCAAUGGACGAAAGUCUGAUGCAGCGACACCGCGUGAGGGAUGACAGCCUCGGGUUGUAAACCUUACUCAAAAAGCACCGGCUAACUACGUGCCAGCAGCAGCGGUAAACGUAGGGUGCAAGCGUUGUCCGGAUUUAUUGGGCGUAAAGAGUUCUGUAGGCGGAAGGAAAGUAGUCAGUAAAAUUCUUGGGCUCAACCCAAGACUGGCUGGCUAAACUACCUUUUAGAAGUAGAGAGNGAGCAGCGGAACUGGUGGUGGAGCGGUAAAAUGCGUUGAUAUCACAGGAACACCAAGGGCGAAGCAGCUGCUUNGCUCUUUCUUNACGCUGAGAGACCGAAAACGUGGG
This 697-nucleotide ribosomal RNA is filed under the name uncultured Lake Michigan sediment bacterium LMBA42. RNAcentral's name for it is "bacterial SSU rRNA". It matches the Rfam family "Bacterial small subunit ribosomal RNA", at positions 28 to 765 of the family's 1533-position model. Lineage: Bacteria; Pseudomonadati; Planctomycetota; Planctomycetia; Planctomycetales. The record is from RNAcentral.